GAGGUUGUAGCUCAGUGGUAGAGCACAUGCCUCUUAUGAAGGAGGUACUGGGUUUGAUUCUCAGCACCACA
RNAcentral lists this transfer RNA (71 nucleotides) under Marmota monax (woodchuck). RNAcentral describes it as "tRNA.Lys". The record is from RNAcentral. Lineage: Eukaryota; Metazoa; Chordata; Mammalia; Rodentia; Sciuridae.